AUGUGUUUAACACAGGCUGUGAGUCCCAGUGCAGAAGGUAACAGGUGUGGUCACUGGGGUGAAAAUGUAAGUCAGAAUACAGUGGAAGUGUCCACUGAAUGAAAUUCUUGGACAAGCCUGUCCACUACUCAGAAAAUAGCCCUGGGCCUGGGAAUCCCAGCCAGGGCCACAGCCACCUACAUCCCAUACCACAGGUACAGGGAGAGCAGAGAAGAGCAGCUGACGUUUGCUGGGGAGGAUGACAUUGAAAUAGAGAUGUGAGUUCCCCAGGAAGCUGGGAAGCUCAUCAUUGGCCGGCAAGGAGCCAAUGUUAAACAGCUGCGGACACAGAGGAUGCAGGCGCUGAGCGCGGGCUGCUUAUCAGUGGUUUUCCUGUUCAGGUGUGCAAGGCCAAAGCAGCGAACCCUCAGAUCCUGACAGAGAACACCCCGGUGUCUGAGCAAUUCCCAGGUCCCCAGAGACCUGAGGGCAGAGUCAUAGGAAGAGGCUUGAGAUGAUUUGUUCUACCUGUAAGGCCUCUGAAACCAAAAUUAUCUGUGACAAAGAAUCAAAGGGGACAUUACUACUAUCAACACAUAAAAAUCUCAGGAACACAGAAGGAAGUGGCAGCAACCAAGCAUUUGAUACUGGAGAAAGGGUUUCAGAAGAUGAAGAAUGUCAGAAGAGAAUUACAUAGUGCAGAAACCAGAGUUUCACACAAGCAACCAAUCAGUGUGAGAAGAGAGGAAAUGACAGAGCCGGAUGAAGCUGGAGAGCCAGUAGUAGGGAAAAACAUGAGUUCUAGCAUGGGGCAGUUACUCCCCACAAAGCAGGAGGUGAUAUGGCUGCUGUGGGGCCAAAGGAAAGCUCCGGGAGAAACCUAACGAUGACAGCAUUCAGAAGUCUGGUGCCAGGCCAUUCCAGAGACAUCCAUGUAUGAAAUCCCCAACCCUGACUUCAGUUUCUAUGCUGAUGAGUACCUAGAAGUCUAUGUCUUUGCAUCUGAACACCCAACCACUUCUGGAUCCAGAUCAUUGGCUCCCGCAGCCUGCAGUUGGAUAAGCUUGUCAAUGAGAUGACCCAGCACUAUAAAAAUAGCCUGCCUAAAGAUUUAACUGUGCAAAUAGGAGACACUGUAGCAGCACCUUUACUUACAAAUGGUCCCUGGUAUCCAUCCCAGAUCCUUGGCACCUUGGAAAAUGGGAACUAUGGCCUCUACUAUGUUGACUUUGGAGAUAAUGGAGACUGUCCACUGAAAGAUCUCAGGGCUCUCAAGGGCGACUUCCUGAGCCUUCUGUUUCAAGCAAUAGAGUGCAGCCUGGCACAGAUCGCCCCAUCAGGUGAACAGUAGGAAGAGGAAGCAUUGCAUGAACUUGACAGAAUCACUCACUGCGCUGACUGGAAGCCCCCUGUGGCCAUGAUCUCCAGCUAUGUCCACACUGGGGUCUCAACAUGGCCAAAGAUCUACUCACAUGACACUAGCAGUGGGGAGAAACUUGAUAUUGGGCUAGAAUUAGUUCAUAAAGGAUACUCAAUUGAGAUUCCUGAAGGCAUGGAAGAAAACAGAGGUAUCUCAGACAUGGUGAAGGAUGCAGCUGCAGACACAGAUGCCUCUCUCAUGGCUAUGAUGAGACCAAAAAGAGCCCUGGAGAGAUGACAUAUACCCCAUCCUGCCCCAGCUUGUCAGCAGCUGCCUCUGUGUUGGGUGAUGAUGACCUUGAAGACAACUACUCACUCUGA
RNA transcript from Nycticebus coucang (slow loris), 1719 nucleotides. It is a transcript of the gene named tudor and KH domain-containing protein-like, with no coding region annotated. The transcript has a single exon. The record is from RefSeq and is a predicted model, not a curated record. Lineage: Eukaryota; Metazoa; Chordata; Mammalia; Primates; Lorisidae.